CAAUAGCGUAUAUUAAAGUUGUUGCAGUUAAAAAGCUCGUAGUUGGAUUUCUGGUGAGAUGGAUUAUGUCUAGGUCGAAAGAUCUUGUUCAUGGUUCGUUUUGCCCUUCUUGUCAGGAACCCGCUGAGAUUCGCGUCUUGUCGGUGGAAUGGCAUCGUUUACUGUGAAAAAAUUAGAGUGUUCAAAGCAGGCAUCGCCGUUGAAUACAUUAGCAUGGAAUAAUAAGAUAAGACUUUUGUGGUCUAUUUUGUUGGUUUGCACGCCAAAGUAAUGAUUAAUAGGGAUAGUUGGGGGUAUUCGUAUUCUAUUGCUAGAGGUGAAAUUCUUAAAUUUAUGGAAGACGAACUACUGCGAAAGCAUUUACCAAGGAUGUUUUCAUUAA
Molecule: ribosomal RNA, 382 nt
Filed under: uncultured eukaryote
Lineage: Eukaryota
Description: partial 18S ribosomal RNA
Rfam family: Eukaryotic small subunit ribosomal RNA
Source: RNAcentral